CAGCAAAUAAACGACACCGACAGACACUCUACACGCGGUGCUUCGGGCGCCGCUGGUCUCGUGCAGCGCCCGCCCCCCCCCUCCCCAUCCGUCGAGGUAUGCAGUCCACUGCAACAGCGGCAGAAGUAGCGAUGGAUCCUCUGUGUGCAGACGCCCACGAUGCUGCCGCCGCUAGCGAAGUGGAGACAAGUGAGGCCGAUGGCGCACCUGAUGCCACUGUUGCCGUACUCCCUGUGGAGCAGGCAGUGGAUGCGUCGACCCCAGCGCAGGAAGGGCAGCAGGCAAUCGCUGGCGAAGCGAGCGAUGACUUCGGACAUGGCCUGUGCGAGGUGCAGGUCAGGGCUCCGGAGUUUCUGCAAGCUCCUUCUGACCAGCCGGCAUCGCCGCAGCUGAGCGCAGCGACACACGGGGUCGCAACGACGCCGCGGAACUCCACGGCGUUUGUGCCGAAUAUGCCGGCGGCGUCGGCGGUGAAUGAGGUUUAUGUGCGCGCACCGCCUUACGCGUAUGCGACGACGACGGCAAUCAACGCACACAGUGCUGCUGCUCCGGAAGACGACGCCGGACCACUGGAAUCGAGGAUCUCUUCCGCGGAGACGAGGCUCGCCACGGCAGCAGCAGCCGAUGGAAGUGACAGCCAGCAGCAGCAGGAUCAUGAUCAGCAGGUGGACGGCACCGCAUCCAGCCCGCGCGGAAUACCAACGGCUGCUGCGGCGGUGGCCGACUCGCAGGCCUGGGUUAUCAACUUCGCACCCAGUAAGCCGAUCCCGACGCGCAAGAUGACAAAGAAGGAGAGGGAAACAAUCAAGCAGUUGCGACUGCGCAGUCAGACCAUCGGCUCAGGUGCACCGACUGCCACCAUGACCGCGCUGGCAGCCGGUGACGGCCUCGGCGCGGACAGCGAGGGAAACACUGUUGUCACGCUUGGCGUCGGCACGUCAGCCGCAUCGCCGUCUUCGCCGCUGCAGGUGGUCCACCUCGAAACCCUGGCCGUAGACCGCGAGGCGCUUAUUCCAACGAACCUGCCAACGACGCGGGCCGACCUCGAGGCGAGGCUAGUACUGCGCCUUCCACGCUUACUGUGUGUAAGCAAGCAGUACCCACGCGGCUGCGGCAUAGCCUCGCUGGCGUCCGUGUACAACUACCUUUACAGCUGGCUGGGCGAGAGCGCCGUCGGGGCCAACCGCGCACCGCACUCGCAGGAGGAGCUCAUGUCGAUCCUCGGCUUUGAGCCGCCCUUCGGCGACAUUGCGUGGGGGCCGUUCACCGGCAACGCCACGCUGAUCCGCUGGUUCCACGCGCUGAACCGGCACUUCGGCGUGCGCGGGCGUGCGUAUAUUCUAUACAAGGCCCACGGUAGUGGCAAUACAGCGCACCUCUACGCCAACAACACCGAGGCGCUGGCAGCCGUGAAGGCUGCGCUGCGCGACCCGCACUGCGCCCUCAUAUACCACUGCUACAACCACUACAUGGUGCCAAUCGGUUACCAGGACAUUCCGCUUGCGCAGACGGACUUCCUCAAGCCGGACGUGCCCGAGUCGAACUGUGACACGACUAUCUUCAUUGGGGAGGUCAGCCGCGGUCGGCACGAGGCGAUGUACGCGCGCAAGUGGUCGCAGAUUGUGAAGGAUAUCGAGUGCAAGUCACCCUUCUUCUUCAACAUUCGCCAUCCUGAGCAGGGCGUGCAGCGGCGCGAGCCCAAGAAGAAGUCGUACAAGGAGGGGGUGAGCGAAGGUGCUGGCGCCGCUGCCCCGCAUGCGACCACCGCCGCUACCACCGCGGCGGCGGUGGCAACGGAAGAGGAGAAGGAGGUGGAGGAGCCGCAGCCACCGCAGCCGGAGCCGGAGGGCCAAGGGCGGCAGAACAGGAGCCCGAGCGGGGUAUACAGCGCCGCUGUGAGCAUCCUAGCUGCAUCGACGAACGCCCCUCCGGGCAGCGCCGCUACUGUGCCGCACGACAUCAACGACAACGAUGUCGAUGCCGACGUCCUUGACAAUGCAGCGCGCAGCACAAGCAGCGAUACGGUCGAGAUGAUGCCCUCUGCCGCCGCCGCCACACCAUCACUGCCGUCGGCGGCGUCGCCGUCACCUUUGCAGCAGCCGCUGUCGCACUCUUCUCCGGCCCCAGGGGUGUCAACCAGAGCCGUUCUCAGGCCUGACUUCGCUGAGCCGUCGGGGGACACAGCCGGCAGUUUGUCCGUCAAGACAGAGCUGCAGCCGCAGGUAGUGGUGGAGGAAGAGCUGGCGGCUGCGGAGUGUGGCAUAAACUGUGAGGAGAGUGCUGGUGCGUCUCCCGCCGCUCGGUCGGCAUCACUGUUGCUCAGCGACGCGCCCGGAGCUCUUCUUGCGGACAACGCCAUGGCUUCGUUCACCGAAGCCAUCGACUCAGUGCCCGAACCCUCACCUCCACCAGCGUCGUCCUCACCGAGGCAAAAGCCGACGCAGUUUGGCAAUGCGUGUGCGCGUGCGGGCAAGGCAGCGGAGUCUCCCCACUCUUCGCAACCGGCGCGGUCGCCAGCCAAGUCGAAGAAGGGGCAGGGCAACUUGCACUGCAUCAUCUGCUUCCGCAAUGACGAGGUGGAGCCGCACCUGGAGCGGUACGAGGACGCGCCGGUGCCACUUGCCGGAGCCGCCGAAGCACCGCCGUGGAGGUCGUUGUCCUUGCCAUCCAGCGACAACAGCUCGAGUAGUAAUGCGGACGACGCAUGACCAUGCCCGUCGAUGCGUGCCACGUGCAGAGUUGCCACCAGCCGAUGCGACGAGGACGUGCACGAAUGGGUACGCCGUUGCGGGUGUGGGUGCAUCUGCAUGCAUGCACGUGGUCUCCGCCUCUCCGAGGAGCUUGCUCGCUCGUUCCCACAGUCGCUCUGUGCACGUGCGCCAUCCACUGCUUUGAAUACGUGUGCCUGUAGCCGCCGUAUCGCUACGCUCUCCCU
Molecule: unclassified non-coding RNA, 2935 nt
Filed under: Leishmania donovani
Lineage: Eukaryota; Euglenozoa; Kinetoplastea; Trypanosomatida; Trypanosomatidae
Description: gene:LdHU3.06.0660(CDS-product:hypothetical_prote in_conserved)
Source: RNAcentral